RNAcentral lists this ribosomal RNA (252 nucleotides) under uncultured bacterium. RNAcentral's name for it is "partial 16S ribosomal RNA". It matches the Rfam family "Bacterial small subunit ribosomal RNA", at positions 524 to 776 of the family's 1533-position model. The record is from RNAcentral.
UACGUAGGUGGCAAGCGUUGUCCGGAAUUAUUGGGCGUAAAGCGCGCGCAGGCGGUUCCUUAAGUCUGAUGUGAAAGCCCCCGGCUCAACCGGGGAGGGUCAUUGGAAACUGGGGAACUUGAGUACUGAAGAGGAAAGCGGAAUUCCACGUGUAGCGGUGAAAUGCGUAGAGAUGUGGAGGAACACCAGUGGCGAAGGCGGCUUCUGGUCAGUAACUGACGCUGAGGCGCGAAAGCGUGGGGAGCAAACAGG